UGCACAGGUGGUGCAUGGCUGUCGUCAGCUCGUGUCGUGAGAUGUUCGGGUUAAGUCCCGCAACGAGCGCAACCCUUAUCCCUAGUUGCCAUCAGUAAGCUGGGAACUCUGGGGAGACUGCCGGUGAUAAACCGGAGGAAGGCGGGGAUGACGUCAAGUCCUCAUGGCCCUUACAUCCCGGGCUACACACGUGCUACAAUGGCAGGUACAGAGGGCUGCGAAGCCGCGAGGUGGAGCGAAUCCCAGAAAACCUGUCUCAGUCCGGAUUGAAGUCUGCAACUCGACUUCAUGAAGGCGGAAUCGCUAGUAACCGCGAAUCAGCAGGUCGCGGUGAAUACGUUCCCGGGCCUU
RNAcentral lists this ribosomal RNA (351 nucleotides) under uncultured Latescibacterota bacterium. RNAcentral describes it as "bacterial SSU rRNA". It matches the Rfam family "Bacterial small subunit ribosomal RNA", at positions 1031 to 1382 of the family's 1533-position model. Lineage: Bacteria; Pseudomonadati; Candidatus Latescibacterota. The record is from RNAcentral.